AGAACGUGGGGCCAGAAAAAAGCACCGAGCUUGAGGGACUAGACUAAUCAAAAAAUGAAAUAACAUGGCAACAAUUACACUGAUGAGUGAGAGGGAGGCUACGGAUGCAUUCAGACACCUAUGGCUCCGCGGACUCCACGCAUUCAGCAUUCCGUGUUUAGUGUCUUGUGUUUUUGAGAGCAGGAUGACAAGACUGUCCAGUGACAAGUGUCUUCACUGUGCAAGCAACAGCUCAGUUCCUGUCAUUGCCUAUGCUCUCCUCCUGCCUGGACUCAUGUAAUCAUCCAUCCAUCCAUCAUUCAUUCAUUCAUUCAGCACGAUAUCGGUGAGUGUGUGCUGUAGGCUGGCAGUCACCUAAAGAUGUUGAGAACUAUAUGGCUUCUCUACAGAAUAUGAGAAAUGUAGCAGUGAAGGUGUUGAAAAGCCCUGAAAAAACGAGUCCCGAACUAUGCUGUGAAGUUUACAUGAGAUUGCCUGUGGGAAGCUUUUAACACAAUGCCUGGCACAUGGGUCUUUGGUGGUGUCAGAAACAUGAAUCACAGAAGAGCAUGUUCAAGCCAAUUGGUUCUUUGAGAUACCACAGCUCAAUAUCAUGAUACAUCAUGGUACCAUCUUUUGGCUCCACAGAAAAAGGAACUGUUGGGCCAGUGCCUACUGUGUGCUCUGAGCUCUGAGUUGAGGGAACUAAAGGAAAAGAGAGAGUUCAGUUGCUUCCAGCCAGUCAAGGAGGCUGUCCAAGUAAUGUGCAUGAGGAAGGAAUGCUGCCCAAAGGAACCAGUGGUGCAAGGGAGCGAAGCUGUCAUACACCAUCAUGGAAACAAGCAAAUCAUGGCUUCCAAAUCCUAAAGAAAUUUGCAUUCCAAAUCAACCACAAGAUAUCAGUGCUAGAAUGGUAACCUGAACCACCAAUGAAAAGUAAAGAAACUGA
This is a long non-coding RNA of Peromyscus eremicus (cactus mouse), 928 nucleotides long. RefSeq lists it as uncharacterized. The record is from RefSeq and is a predicted model, not a curated record. The transcript is spliced from 6 exons. NCBI's taxonomy places the organism in Eukaryota, Metazoa, Chordata, Mammalia, Rodentia, Cricetidae.